GACGAACGCUGGCGGCGUGCUUAACACAUGCAAGUCGAACGGAAAGGCCCCUUUGUGGGUACUCGAGCGGCGCACGGGUGCGUAACACGUGCGUAACCUUCCCUUGACUUCGGGAUAACUUCAGGUAACUGGGGCUAAUACCGGAUAGGAAUCCUUUCUGCAUGGUGGGGGUUGGAUAGCUUCGGCGGGUUUGGAUGGACUCGCUGCUUAUCAGCUUGUUGGUGGGGCAGUGGCUUACCAAGGCGUUGGCGGGUAGCCGGACUGCGAGGGCGACCGGCCACAUUGGGACUGAGAUACGGCACAGGCUGCUACGGGAGGGAGAAGUGGGGAAGCUUGCAGAAGGGGCGGAAGGCUGAUGCAGAAACGCCGCGUACGGGAUGACGGCCUUAGGGUUGAAAACCGAUUUCAGCAGGAGCGAAGCUUGUGGUGACGGUACCUGCAGAAGAAGCACCGGCUAACUACGUG
Molecule: ribosomal RNA, 465 nt
Filed under: uncultured bacterium
Lineage: Bacteria
Description: partial 16S ribosomal RNA
Rfam family: Bacterial small subunit ribosomal RNA
Source: RNAcentral